Molecule: transfer RNA, 70 nt
Filed under: Camelus bactrianus (Bactrian camel)
Lineage: Eukaryota; Metazoa; Chordata; Mammalia; Artiodactyla; Camelidae
Also listed under: 2 other names
Rfam family: tRNA
About the family: Transfer RNA (tRNA) molecules are approximately 80 nucleotides in length. Their secondary structure includes four short double-helical elements and three loops (D, anti-codon, and T loops). Further hydrogen bonds mediate the characteristic L-shaped molecular structure. tRNAs have two regions of fundamental functional importance: the anti-codon, which is responsible for specific mRNA codon recognition, and the 3' end, to which the tRNAs corresponding amino acid is attached (by aminoacyl-tRNA synthetases). tRNAs cope with the degeneracy of the genetic code in two manners: having more than one tRNA (with a specific anti-codon) for a particular amino acid; and 'wobble' base-pairing, i.e. permitting non-standard base-pairing at the 3rd anti-codon position.
Source: Rfam by way of RNAcentral
GGGUAUAGCUCAGUGGUAGAGUGCAUGCCUAGCAUGCAUGAAGUCCUGGGUUCAACCCCCAGUAUUUCCA